CAACAAUAUUAACAACAAAAGUAGACUGAAACAACAUGAAUCACAAUUAACUGAAUCGAAAUGCAAACUGAAAUCAUAUGAUGAACAACAAAGAGCAGGAAACCAAACAAUACACAAAACGAAACCAUUUGAACCAAUAGCAAUAACAAACAUUUAUGGGAAUAGCCACAGUUUUAUACAAGACUGAUUGAACUUCCUAACUUGAAAUAUGCAACGAUACAAAGAAGAAGAAAAAUCAGAAUAAACCAAACAUUUAAUUUUGCACGAAACGAGAAUUGAGCAGAAGAUGAACUAAAGCUAACAACAACACAAAAUAGACCGGAAUCGUACCAUAUUAAAGGGAUUGGGUUCGAAUGGAAACCUCGACGCACCGCAACUCGACGACCUUGACUGCGUAUGAACUGUUUCGACAACCCCGACCAAAUCUCGAACAAACGAGAUAGUUGGGUCUCAUUUUGGACUGGAGGUGACGGGCUCCGGCGACACUACUGGACGACGACACAUUGUCGUGGUGGAGCUGGGUGUUGAAGGAGACGACGAAGAGUGGGGUGUGGUUGUUGUCCGCCGGACGAAGCAGAAUCCGAUGGGGUUCGUUUGGACGUGAACUGAGUGGUCAUUUGGGCGGAGAAGAUGAAGCAACCCCAACGCCCAUGGCUGGAGCUCGACGAAGCAAGAGGCUGGGUGAUGGUGGUCUUUUGAAGACGAAGCAGAAGGCAAGGUGCUAGGGUCUCGAGGGUGUUGUAGAAAACGAUGCAGCGACAGCGGGGUUGUUCAUGGCUGGUCGCUGGUUGAAGAUGUGAGUUGAGUGGUCGUUUGAGAAGAUGAAGGUGAAGGGGCAGCCAUUGUCGAGCUUGAGCUAGACAUGGAGAAAACGAAGCUGAAGGGGAGGUCGUUCAUGGCUUGGGGGGUCGACGACUGUGUGUGUGCAUGCGUGUGUGUUGAAGGAGAAGAGGAGGCAGCCAUGGCUGGGAGCUUGGAAGGGUUGUUCAUGGUGAGGGUGAAAAGAGAGAGGGAGGGGGGGG
Molecule: long non-coding RNA, 1022 nt
Filed under: Nicotiana tabacum (common tobacco)
Lineage: Eukaryota; Viridiplantae; Streptophyta; Magnoliopsida; Solanales; Solanaceae
Description: long non-coding RNA (NTAB_LNC019425)
Source: RNAcentral